Molecule: ribosomal RNA, 785 nt
Filed under: uncultured Clostridia bacterium
Lineage: Bacteria; Bacillati; Bacillota; Clostridia
Description: bacterial SSU rRNA
Rfam family: Bacterial small subunit ribosomal RNA
Source: RNAcentral
AAAGUGGCGAACGGGUGAGUAACACGUGAGCAACCUACCUUACACAGGGGGAUAGCCGUUGGAAACGACGAUUAAUACCGCAUGAGACCACAGAACCGCAUGGUAAAGGGGUCAAAGAUUUAUCGGUGUAAGAUGGGCUCGCGUCUGAUUAGCUAGUUGGAAGGGUAAAGGCCUACCAAGGCGACGAUCAGUAGCCGGUCUGAGAGGAUGAACGGCCACAUUGGAACUGAGACACGGUCCAAACUCCUACGGGAGGCAGCAGUGGGGAAUAUUGCACAAUGGGGGAAACCCUGAUGCAGCGACGCCGCGUGAGCGAAGAAGGUUUUCGAAUCGUAAAGCUCUGUCCUAUGAGAAGAUAAUGACGGUAUCAUAGGAGGAAGCCCCGGCUAAAUACGUGCCAGCAGCCGCGGUAAUACGUAUGGGGCGAGCGUUGUCCGGAAUUAUUGGGCGUAAAGGGUACGUAGGCGGUCUAUUAAGUCAGGUGUGAAAGCGUGAGGCUUAACCUCAUUAAGCACUUGAAACUGAUAGACUUGAGUGAAGGAGAGGAAAGUGGAAUUCCUAGUGUAGCGGUGAAAUGCGUAGAUAUUAGGAGGAACACCGAUGGCGAAGGCAGGUCUCUGGGCAGUAACUGACGCUGAGGAGCGAAAGCAUGGGUAGCGAACAGGAUUAGAUACCCUGGUAGUCCAUGCCGUAAACGGUGGGCGCUAGGUGUAGGGGGCUUCCACGUCUUCUGUGCCGUAGCUAACGCAUUAAGCGCCCCGCCUGGGGAGUACGCCGCAAGGCUA